GAUGAACGCUGGCGGCGUGCCUAAUACAUGCAAGUCGAGCGAACGGACGAGAAGCUUGCUUCUCUGAUGUUAGCGGCGGACGGGUGAGUAACACGUGGAUAACCUACCUAUAAGACUGGGAUAACUUCGGGAAACCGGAGCUAAUACCGGAUGAUAUUUUGAACCGCAUGGUUCAAUAGUGAAAGACGGUCUUGCUGUCACUUAUAGAUGGAUCCGCGCUGCAUUAGCUAGUUGGUAAGGUAAUGGCUUACCAAGGCAACGAUGCAUAGCCGACCUGAGAGGGUGAUCGGCCACACUGGAACUGAGACACGGUCCAGACUCCUACGGGAGGCAGCAGUAGGGAAUCUUCCGCAAUGGGCGAAAGCCUGACGGAGCAACGCCGCGUGAGUGAUGAAGGUCUUCGGAUCGUAAAACUCUGUUAUUAGGGAAGAACAUAUGUGUAAGUAACUGUGCACAUCUUGACGGUACCUAAUCAGAAAGCCACGGCUAACUACGUG
This 497-nucleotide ribosomal RNA is filed under the name uncultured bacterium. RNAcentral describes it as "partial 16S ribosomal RNA". It matches the Rfam family "Bacterial small subunit ribosomal RNA", at positions 28 to 507 of the family's 1533-position model. The record is from RNAcentral.